RNAcentral lists this ribosomal RNA (493 nucleotides) under uncultured bacterium. RNAcentral describes it as "bacterial SSU rRNA". It matches the Rfam family "Bacterial small subunit ribosomal RNA", at positions 33 to 507 of the family's 1533-position model. The record is from RNAcentral.
GACGACGCUGGCGGCGUGGAUUAGGCAUGCAAGUCGGACGGUAGGGCUUUAUCGUAAGAUAGAGUUUGAGAGUGGCGAACGGGUGAGUAACACGUAGGAAUCUACCCUUAAGACGGGGACAACCCAGGGAAACUUGGGCUAAUACCGGAUGAGAGUGCGAGAGAUUGCAUUUAAAAGGAUGGCGAAAGUUGUCGCUUAGGGAUGAGCCUGCGGUCUAUUAGUUAGUUGGUGAGGUGAGAGCUCACCAAGGCGAUGAUAGAUAGGCGGCCUUAACGGGUGGUCGCCCACACUGGGAUUGAGAUACGGCCCAGACUCCUACGGGAGGCAGCAGUCGAGAAUAGUCUACAAUGGCCGGAAGGCUGAUAGUGCGACGCCGCGUGAACGAGGGAGCCCUUCGGGGUGUAAAGUUCUUUUCUAUACGAGCAGUGCUAUAUAUAUGGAUAGUAUAUAUAGAGGGAUAGUAGUAUAGGAAUAAGCAACGGCUAACUCCGUG